UACGUAGGGUGCGAGCGUUAAUCGGAAUUACUGGGCGUAAAGCGUGCGCAGGCGGUGAUGUAAGACAGGUGUGAAAUCCCCGGGCUUAACCUGGGAACUGCAUUUGUGACUGCAUAGCUGGAGUGCGGCAGAGGGGGAUGGAAUUCCGCGUGUAGCAGUGAAAUGCGUAGAUAUGCGGAGGAACACCGAUGGCGAAGGCAAUCCCCUGGGCCUGCACUGACGCUCAUGCACGAAAGCGUGGGGAGCAAACAGG
RNAcentral lists this ribosomal RNA (253 nucleotides) under uncultured bacterium. RNAcentral describes it as "partial 16S ribosomal RNA". It matches the Rfam family "Bacterial small subunit ribosomal RNA", at positions 524 to 776 of the family's 1533-position model. The record is from RNAcentral.